Drosophila virilis is the source of this 3319-nucleotide non-coding RNA. NCBI's taxonomy places the organism in Eukaryota, Metazoa, Arthropoda, Insecta, Diptera, Drosophilidae. The record is from RefSeq and is a predicted model, not a curated record.
UCUGUUGCCUUCAUUUGCACAAAUACACUAUACCCCUUUUACUCAUUUUUAAUGGAUUCAGCGAAUGCAAAUAUAACCUUAUCUUAUCAUCUGUUUUUCAAUUCGCCUUGUUCUAUGUUGCGUACCUUCAGCAAGGCAAUACAAAAAAACACGGCUUUCAGUGUGGUAGGCAGGAUAGAAAAUAAAAUAUAAAUUAUAUAGGUGUCUAUGUAGUCAUGCAGUCAUUGCUUAAAGCAGUUGAAGAGCAAUUAGAGUUGCUUGAGGUUAUAAGACAGCCACUAAAUAGGUCCUAGACCAUAACCUACCAUUUGUCAGGCCAGGUAGACCUACAAUAUAUUUCAUAUAAUCCCAAGAAGACAAGCUGGGAUCCGGUGUUUUUUCUCAUCCAAUAUAUAUUAAUAUAAUUUUUAAAUUCCACCGAAUUUCAAUAACAAAUGUUAACGAUUUGCGUCAGUAAUGACAUUACUGCUCAUACAGAUGUACAAAGUUUCACUCUUCUUUCAACACUGUUGCCUGCACCCGUUAGUUUUGAGCUUAAUGAUAAAACAAAGAUCGUGUCAAGCAAUUUUAUUGUAUUCUAUUUUACUAUUUAAACUGGCCAUAAAAGCCCGCUCGAGAUUAGACAUUCUCACAAAUCAAAAAAAUGAUCAUGAUCUAUCAUUGCAUCCGAAAGCAUUUUGAAGGUGGACCAACACCCUAUCUAUUUAAGAGAUAUGCUCCUCACAAAAGAUACUCCUUUCGUCCACAUUAAUGAGCAAUGUGUGCGUUUGUAUCACGUCCGAAGACAAGCUGUUUAUUCCUCUGCUUGCAGAAAUCGACGGGCCACUGAAUCGCAAUCGAGGACACGGUAUCGGAGCUGCUUAAAGUAGUGACACGCCACUCCCAUUUGCCGAACGCUUUGUAUUGCCUCGGCUCCGAUGACUCAAGCAACUGAUAUACUGAAAGUGAAGUAGUUUAAUGGGAAGAGUCUCAUAUUGCAUGAGAAUAGUAGACUGAGGCGCCCAAUAUGAUAGGUCAUGUAACAGAUUAUAUGAGCCCCGGCUAAGUCCACAGACAUUAGCGCCAAUCAACCAUGGCUUUUGGAUCAGAGCCAUGUUGAUUACAUGUUGAUAGGACUAUGUACAGAGAUGCUGAUAGCCUUGUGGCAUGAUACAGGUUCACCCUAAUCAUUCCCAUGUCUGGUCAAGGAGUAAGAGCCGGUUUUAGCGUAACAGUUUAACCUCUUUUGAUUUCACGCUGUUUAUUUAAUUACGCUCAACAACCAUGAUUUCAUAUUCGAAGUCUGAAAAAACAACAACCAGCAGUAGUUCCAACCCAAGGGGACAGAUGACCUUUCCAGGUCUGCCUUCACAGUGUCGUGACUAUGGGAGGUGGGGGCAGGAACGGUGAAAUCUGUAGCACUCGGGGGGCUUUUGCGGUACAGGUUAAAGCCUGCAAAUAUACUUUAUAAUCAGCAUCAAGCUGUCAUGAGCGACUUAGCCUCAUGGCAUUGCUCGUUUACUGCGAAAUGUCUUGAAUUAGUAUGCCAGAAGCCUUCAACAACUCAAUACUACUAGCGAGCGACGUUUGGAUUAAGGUCAUCAGGAAAAUAGCAUUGCCAAGAGUCUGGGCAUCGAGCUAAUCCAAUUGGAAAAUGUUACCCUGUAAACAAGCUGUCUGCCUAUGUGUUAUGUAGUCUUGAUUAGCACUAAUAAUUUUACUCGGAUCUUUAUGAAAUCCUCACCUAAUAAAUAUGGCACCCAAGUGUGUUUUAUAUAUGUGCACUUUGCGCAAGGCCCUAGCUUUGAAACGAAGUUUUUAACACUUUUGGGCGAAAGGUAAAGAUAAUCAAAUAACAAAAUAUAUGUUAAAUCUAUACUCACCAAGUUUGGUGUAUGUUGCUCUUUUAAUUUUUUUGUUUUUUGCCGCAAUAAAGAGGGGAUAUAGAGCUGCUGAACAGGCAGACACAAAGCCCCAGUACGUAGAGCCCAUGGACGUAGCCUCCUCAUAAAAGAAGUGACAGUUGAUGGUAUAAAUUAAGUCCCAAGAAUCGGGGAAACUUUCAUAACGAUGACAAGGGGUAGACCACAUCGCUUCUAGCACUGGUCAAACCGAAGAGGAAUACAAAAUAACUGAGGCCCAAUUGAUAUAGUCAAAUAAUAGACAGACAACAUAAGCUCAAGCACAAAUAAAUCGUUUGACAAACACAGCAAACAAAAUAUAUUAAAUAUUGAAAAUGCACUUUAUUAUUAAAUACCCUAAGAUCAACUCUUUCUGCAAGAGUCAUCAUCUUUUCAGUAUCGCACAACAGACAACAUUCCAGAGAUGGAUAAAGUCGGUAGCCAACUUGUAAGCUUCGACCGCAUUGUCGUUAUCAACAGUAUUAAGCUCCCCUAUUAAACAUACCCGUAACGAGCUCAAGGCCGACGCGUCAACAAAGGCCGUAGAUAAGGGGUAUUUUUCCAAGCGCUAAUAAGCGGUGCUACCGUCAGCGGUCUUGCCCUCCUCAAACGGUAUUUGAGAAGGAGGGAAGAGAAACGUAAAAUCAGCAAAUUGGUAGCAUAAAAUUUGUAUGUAUUUGUCUCAACAUGCCUCCAACGGGAAAGCAGUUAACUGCUGAUGCUAUUGGCGGUUUCACCAGCAUCACAACGGCAGCCUUCAAGAACUUGUUGUAUAUUAGCUGACAAAACAUAAGCAACAGUCAAUAUUGCAGUAGUUAGCGACAGUUUAUGAUAACUUUACGACUUGGACGAGGCACAAUCACGAUACCGCAACUUACAGCUAGGGUUCAGUGUUAAGAACUCCUUUGUAUUAAUAACUUAAGUGGCAAUUAUAACGGGCAGUCACAAAUAUUAAUUUAUUUAUCAACCAAUUCUGGUAGCUUUCAGGCUAUCUCUAAUAUUACAUUAUAAUUAAUAUAGGUAAAAAGAAACCAUGAAACAUAAAGAAUAUAUAAAUUUAUUAGUUUUGAAGAAAGAAUUCUUGAAGCUCAUGUUGACCAGAGCGCUAUUGGCAGAAGAAUCAAAGAGCAUUUUAGUUGGGAGAUUCUUUUAAAGCUUUAAUGAUCGUUGCUGGCACAAGCAACUCUAUGAGUCCCUGCUCGGCACAUUAAAGUUAGAACAUGCUUGAGAGACGAGCAGUCAAUAAUUCUUACAAGUGCUUAAAAAUGCAGCACUGUUAUAACUCUUCUAUCUUCCAGCGAUGAUAAUAAACAUGUUAUAUAGAAGUAGAAGUAGACCACGACAACUCCCAUAAGGUGCGGACAAAGUAUUGCUGAUGCAUACGCGAUUAUAACUGUUGGGCUAACAAAUAUACGUCUUUUUCUUAUAAAAUCAUGCAA